Molecule: ribosomal RNA, 468 nt
Filed under: uncultured bacterium
Lineage: Bacteria
Description: partial 16S ribosomal RNA
Rfam family: Bacterial small subunit ribosomal RNA
Source: RNAcentral
GACGAACGCUGGCGGCGUGCUUAACACAUGCAAGUCGAACGGAAAGGCCCUGCUUUUGUGGGGUGCUCGAGUGGCGAACGGGUGAGUAACACGUGAGUAACCUGCCCUUGACUUUGGGAUAACUUCAGGAAACUGGGGCUAAUACCGGAUAGGAGCUCCUGCUGCAUGGUGGGGGUUGGAAAGUUUCGGCCGUUGGGGAUGGACUCGCGGCUUAUCAGCUUGUUGGUGGGGUAGUGGCUUACCAAGGCUUUGACGGGUAGCCGGCCUGAGAGGGUGACCGGCCACAUUGGGACUGAGGUACGGCCCAGACUCCUACGGGAGGCAGCAGUGGGGAAUAUUGCACAAUGGGCGGAAGCCUGAUGCAGCAACGCCGCGUGCGGGAUGACGGCCUUCGGGUUGUAAACCGCUUUCGCCUGUGACGAAGCGUGAGUGACGGUAAUGGGUAAAGAAGCACCGGCUAACUACGUG